RNAcentral lists this transfer RNA (78 nucleotides) under Actinomadura macrotermitis. Its description in RNAcentral is "Actinomadura sp. RB68 tRNA-Ser". The record is from RNAcentral. Lineage: Bacteria; Bacillati; Actinomycetota; Actinomycetes; Streptosporangiales; Thermomonosporaceae.
GAUCCCGAUGGCCCGAUCCGGCGGCGGUAAGCGGACUUGAAAUCCGGCAAGUGCGGGUUCGAAUCCCGUCCGGGUACG